This 2930-nucleotide ribosomal RNA is filed under the name Escherichia coli. RNAcentral's name for it is "bacterial LSU rRNA". It matches the Rfam family "Bacterial large subunit ribosomal RNA". The record is from RNAcentral. Lineage: Bacteria; Pseudomonadati; Pseudomonadota; Gammaproteobacteria; Enterobacterales; Enterobacteriaceae.
GGGUUGUGAGGUUAAGCGACUAAGCGUACACGGUGGAUGCCCUGGCAGUCAGAGGCGAUGAAGGACGUGCUAAUCUGCGAUAAGCGUCGGUAAGGUGAUAUGAACCGUUAUAACCGGCGAUUUCCGAAUGGGGAAACCCAGUGUGWUUCGWCACACUAUCAUUAACUGAAUCCAUAGGUUAAUGAGGCGAACCGGGGGAACUGAAACAUCUAAGUACCCCGAGGAAAAGAAAUCAACCGAGAUUCCCCCAGUAGCGGCGAGCGAACGGGGAGGAGCCCAGAGCCUGAAUCAGUGUGUGUGUUAGUGGAAGCGUCUGGAAAGGCGCGCGAUACAGGGUGACAGCCCCGUACACAAAAAUGCACAUAUUGUGAGCUCGAUGAGUAGGGCGGGACACGUGGUAUCCUGUCUGAAUAUGGGGGGACCAUCCUCCAAGGCUAAAUACUCCUGACUGACCGAUAGUGAACCAGUACCGUGAGGGAAAGGCGAAAAGAACCCCGGCGAGGGGAGUGAAAAAGAACCUGAAACCGUGUACGUACAAGCAGUGGGAGCACGCUUAGGCGUGUGACUGCGUACCUUUUGUAUAAUGGGUCAGCGACUUAUAUUCUGUAGCAAGGUUAACCGAAUAGGGGAGCCGAAGGGAAACCGAGUCUUAACUGGGCGUUAAGUUGCAGGGUAUAGACCCGAAACCCGGUGAUCUAGCCAUGGGCAGGUUGAAGGUUGGGUAACACUAACUGGAGGACCGAACCGACUAAUGUUGAAAAAUUAGCGGAUGACUUGUGGCUGGGGGUGAAAGGCCAAUCAAACCGGGAGAUAGCUGGUUCUCCCCGAAAGCUAUUUAGGUAGCGCCUCGUGAAUUCAUCUCCGGGGGUAGAGCACUGUUUCGGCAAGGGGGUCAUCCCGACUUACCAACCCGAUGCAAACUGCGAAUACCGGAGAAUGUUAUCACGGGAGACACACGGCGGGUGCUAACGUCCGUCGUGAAGAGGGAAACAACCCAGACCGCCAGCUAAGGUCCCAAAGUCAUGGUUAAGUGGGAAACGAUGUGGGAAGGCCCAGACAGCCAGGAUGUUGGCUUAGAAGCAGCCAUCAUUUAAAGAAAGCGUAAUAGCUCACUGGUCGAGUCGGCCUGCGCGGAAGAUGUAACGGGGCUAAACCAUGCACCGAAGCUGCGGCAGCGACGCUKAUGCGUUGUUGGGUAGGGGAGCGUUCUGUAAGCCUGUGAAGGUGUGCUGUGAGGCAUGCUGGAGGUAUCAGAAGUGCGAAUGCUGACAUAAGUAACGAUAAAGCGGGUGAAAAGCCCGCUCGCCGGAAGACCAAGGGUUCCUGUCCAACGUUAAUCGGGGCAGGGUGAGUCGACCCCUAAGGCGAGGCCGAAAGGCGUAGUCGAUGGGAAACAGGUUAAUAUUCCUGUACUUGGUGUUACUGCGAAGGGGGGACGGAGAAGGCUAUGUUGGCCGGGCGACGGUUGUCCCGGUUUAAGCGUGUAGGCUGGUUUUCCAGGCAAAUCCGGAAAAUCAAGGCUGAGGCGUGAUGACGAGGCACUACGGUGCUGAAGCAACAAAUGCCCUGCUUCCAGGAAAAGCCUCUAAGCAUCAGGUAACAUCAAAUCGUACCCCAAACCGACACAGGUGGUCAGGUAGAGAAUACCAAGGCGCUUGAGAGAACUCGGGUGAAGGAACUAGGCAAAAUGGUGCCGUAACUUCGGGAGAAGGCACGCUGAUAUGUAGGUGAAGCGACUUGCUCGUGGAGCUGAAAUCAGUCGAAGAUACCAGCUGGCUGCAACUGUUUAUUAAAAACACAGCACUGUGCAAACACGAAAGUGGACGUAUACGGUGUGACGCCUGCCCGGUGCCGGAAGGUUAAUUGAUGGGGUCAGCGCAAGCGAAGCUCUUGAUCGAAGCCCCGGUAAACGGCGGCCGUAACUAUAACGGUCCUAAGGUAGCGAAAUUCCUUGUCGGGUAAGUUCCGACCUGCACGAAUGGCGUAAUGAUGGCCAGGCUGUCUCCACCCGAGACUCAGUGAAAUUGAACUCGCUGUGAAGAUGCAGUGUACCCGCGGCAAGACGGAAAGACCCCGUGAACCUUUACUAUAGCUUGACACUGAACAUUGAGCCUUGAUGUGUAGGAUAGGUGGGAGGCUUAGAAGUGUGGACGCCAGUCUGCAUGGAGCCGACCUUGAAAUACCACCCUUUAAUGUUUGAUGUUCUAACGUUGACCCGUAAUCCGGGUUGCGGACAGUGUCUGGUGGGUAGUUUGACUGGGGCGGUCUCCUCCUAAAGAGUAACGGAGGAGCACGAAGGUUGGCUAAUCCUGGUCGGACAUCAGGAGGUUAGUGCAAUGGCAUAAGCCAGCUUGACUGCGAGCGUGACGGCGCGAGCAGGUGCGAAAGCAGGUCAUAGUGAUCCGGUGGUUCUGAAUGGAAGGGCCAUCGCUCAACGGAUAAAAGGUACUCCGGGGAUAACAGGCUGAUACCGCCCAAGAGUUCAUAUCGACGGCGGUGUUUGGCACCUCGAUGUCGGCUCAUCACAUCCUGGGGCUGAAGUAGGUCCCAAGGGUAUGGCUGUUCGCCAUUUAAAGUGGUACGCGAGCUGGGUUUAGAACGUCGUGAGACAGUUCGGUCCCUAUCUGCCGUGGGCGCUGGAGAACUGAGGGGGGCUGCUCCUAGUACGAGAGGACCGGAGUGGACGCAUCACUGGUGUUCGGGUUGUCAUGCCAAUGGCACUGCCCGGUAGCUAAAUGCGGAAGAGAUAAGUGCUGAAAGCAUCUAAGCACGAAACUUGCCCCGAGAUGAGUUCUCCCUGACCCUUUAAGGGUCCUGAAGGAACGUUGAAGACGACGACGUUGAUAGGCCGGGUGUGUAAGCGCAGCGAUGCGUUGAGCUAACCGGUACUAAUGAACCGUGAGGCUUAACCUUACAACGCCGAAGSUGUU